AGGGCACUACCAGGAGUGGAUCCUGCGGCUCAAUUUGACUCAACACGGGAAAGCUCACCUGGUCCGGACACUGGAAGGAUUGACAGAUUAAGAGCUCUUUCUUGAUUCAGUGGGUGGUGGUGCAUGGCCGUUCUUAGUUGGUUGAGCGAUUUGUCUGGUUAAUUCCGAUAACGAACGAGACUCUAGCCUACUAAAUAGAUCGUCGGCUUACAAACGCCGAUGAGACUUCUUAGAGGGACAGGCGGCGAUUCAGCCGCACGAAACAGAGCAAUAACAGGUCUGUGAUGCCCUUAGAUGUCCGGGGCCGCACGCGCGCUACACUGAAGUGAUCAGCGUGCAUUUUCAGCCUACUCUGCCAAGAGUGGGAAACCCAAUGAACCUUCUUCGUGAUUGGGAUAGGGGAUUGUAAUUAUUCCCCUUGAACGAGGAAUUCCCAGUAAAGCGCGAGUCAUAAGCUCGCGUUGAUUACGUCCCUGCCCUUUGUACACACCGCCCGUCGCUACUACCAAUUGAAUGUUU
RNAcentral lists this ribosomal RNA (519 nucleotides) under uncultured eukaryote. RNAcentral's name for it is "SSU rRNA". It matches the Rfam family "Eukaryotic small subunit ribosomal RNA", at positions 1161 to 1698 of the family's 1831-position model. The record is from RNAcentral.